UGCCAAAAGACUGGAUAUAGUCGUCUGUGUUAGACAGUAGGACCCCAUUACCUAUCCAUUCUACAUGUAGUAUUUUGCAUCUACCAAUAGCUUGCUUGAUCUUAUGCAGUCAUCGGAUGUCUUGGGUUGAAUCGUAACCCCCCCUCCCCAAUCCAACUGAACCCCCAGUUGGAGGUUGCCUCACAAUGUAACCAUAUUUGGAAAUGUGCUCUUUGAAGAGGCAAUUAAAUUUAAAAGGGAUAAUUCGGGCGGCUCCUAAUCAUGUGACUAGUGUCCUUAUAAGAAGAAAAAGACAUCAGAUAUGUGCUCACACAGAGGAAAGGCCACGUGAGGACACAGCGAGAAGGCACUGCAAGUCAAGGACAGAGGAGAAGCCAGGAGAAGCCAGACCUACCCACACCUUUGAUCUUGGGCUUCUGGCUUCAGGAAUUUUGAGAAAAUUAAUUUCUAUUGUUUGAACCACCUGGUCUGUGAUAUUUUGUUACAGCAGCCUGAGCAGUCUAAUAUAUCCAGUGGUAGAGUCUGGGUUUAAGUUCUGACCUUUCACUUAGUAGUUUGCAACUUUUUAGUCUAAUUACUUAAACCUUUCUGUGCCUCAGGCUUCUCAACUAUAAAGUGGCAAUAAUUGAACAUGGCCAUUGGGUUGUGAGGAUUAAAUUAAUUGACAAAUGCAAAAGUUAGAAGAGGGACCACACAGUGAGUUCUCAGUGACUGUUAAAAUGUGCAUAUAAAAAUGUAUGUUUAGGAGUUCCCAUUGUGGCUCAGCAUUAACAAACCUGACUAAUAUUUAUGAGGAUGCAUGUUUGAUCCCUGGCCUCACUCGGUGGGUUAAGGAUCUGGCAUUGAUGUGAGCUGUGAUAUAGGUCACAGACGCAGCUCGGAUCUGGCGUGGCUGUGGUGUAGGCUUGCAGCUGCAGCUCUGACUUGACCCCCUAGUGUGGGAACUUCCAUAUACUGUACCUACAGGGCGCUCCCCCCCCAAAAAAGGAUGUUUAUGUGCCUUUUGCUCUGGGACUUUGAAGAAUUCUGUAGUCCAGCCUUGAGGCUUCUGAUUCUUUGGGUCUGGUCUGGUCUGCAUGAAAAGCUCUUUGGGAGAUUCCGAUAGUCAUUUUGAGAAUCACCAGCACAACGAGGAAUUGUAAAGUUCUUCCUACUCAUACACUUCUCCUAUACCCUUGCAGUGCCCCAAUCCCCUCCUCCCAGAGAAAUUCACUGCUUUAUUAAAUCGAUACUGCUACGUACCUGGUAAGCACAUGACCCUUCGGUGCAUCAUCAGACCACUUAAUAGCUUUCCUGCUGUACCCCUGGAAUUUCCCAUUUGUCCAAUACUGACCCCAGCUGUUAAGAAGUGAGUUUUCUGUCUCAUGUCUAAAGAGAUCCUGAUAAAAAGUCUACAUGCUUCUCAGGAAAAACAUUUUUAGGCAGUGCAGGAAAAUAUAAAAAGGAAAACGAGUCAAUAAAAUUCUCACACCCAGGGACAAGCACUGUUAAACUUUCGGUGCCUGUUCUCCCUUUAACCUGCAUAUGAUGACAGUAUUUCUAGUGAUACUUUUUUUACAUUUUUGGUACACUUAUUCCUAAAUAAUAUGCAACUAUUGUUCACAGUCUAAAAAAACACCUUAGUUGUCAUUUCAUGUAGUUUAAUUGAUCAUUGUUCUGUACAAAUAUUAUAUAUUGAUCCUUUUUCUUUUAAUGAUGUUUAAAUUAGGUGCAGGUUAUAAAUCUUGUAUAUCUGGGAGGUCCCAUUGUGGCGAAGUGGAAACGAAUCCCACUAGUAUCCAUGAGGAUGCGAGUUUGAUACCUGGCCUCACUCAGUGGGUUGGGGAUCUGGCGUUGGUGUGUGCUGUGGUGUAGGCCAGCAGCUAUAGCUCUGAUUUUGUUGUAUAUCUUUCUACAUGUAUUUCUAUACAUUUAUACAUAUAUGUGUAAAAAAUAGAGUGUGGCAGGUUAUUUUUGUUUGGUUUUGAUUUUUUGUUUGGUUUGGUUAUAACAUGUGGUCAUACCAUCUUUAUCAUUUCUCAUUUACCUCCUGAACAUAUUUCUGUCCAGGAUUGUAUACCCAGAGCAUUAUUCUUAAAGGCCCUUUGGUGGAAGCUGUGAGGGCCUUCAGUGCCAGGCUGACGGGGAGAAUGGAGGUGGUUGAAGAGGGCAGUCUCAUGCUUUUGGAAGGCAAACUCUCCUUUAAGCUCUAGAAGCUGCAAUGGGGAGACAGAGGGAGCAGAAUGCCUUAAAAUCUCCUUUAUGCAAGGAGAAAGUUGAGUAGUGGGAAGAAAGCCCUUGCCCACAUUUCGUUAAAUGUGACUUGGAAUGCCAGUGGCAAUACAUUGUGGGGGCUGGGGCCGUGUGUUUAGGAAUGAAGGUUCCCUUCACUCCUUCCACCAAGUUUAGGGAAGAGGAAUUGGUGAUGGUGAGACUACAGAUCACUGUUUCGCCUGUUUUUCUUCCACAGCCGUAGCAUGUGGAAGUUCCCGGGGCAAGGAUUGAACCUGCGCCACAGUUUCAGCCUGUGUCACAGCUGCGGCCACAUAGGAUCCAUAACCCACUGUGCACGGGGAAACUUCUCUCACUUGUUUUUCUUAACCCAGUCCUUGCCGUAAGGUUUUUGAUGGGAGGAAUUCUAGAGAAAGACAGCAAUGAGGAAGCUUUGAGCAGUGAGAGGCUUCAGGAAACUGUAAUGGGGAGUGAUCAGGAGAUGGACACGGGAGGCAGCUGGCCCCUGAGGAGGAGAGGAGGUCAUCAGAGUAUGAAAGCUGAGCCUGCAGGAUUUUGCUUACUUGACUCUGUGCCCACUGCCUCUGAGGCACCUCUGCAGUGGGGACUGUCUAGGAAUUCUGUCCUUGAUCUGGGCCACUUUGAAUGAAGCUGGUAUACCAAGAAAGAAUAUUCACAAAAAUGUGUCAACGACUUGCAUUCUGUGCCCUGAGACUCCAUGAAGAUUGAGUAACUGCCAAGCAUUCUCUGAACACCUCACCCCCAAAUUCUCAGUUAUGAGUCAGGACACAUGUUUAACAACACUCAGGGAGUUCCCGUCGUGGCGCAGUGGUUAACGAAUCCGACUAGGAACCAUGAGGUGGCGGGUUCGGUCCCUGCCCUUGCUCAGUGGGUUAACGAUCCGGCAUUGCUGUGAGCUGUGGUGUAGGUUGCAGACGUGGCUCGGAUCCCGCGUUGCUGUGGCUCUGGUGUAGGCUGGCAGCUACAGCUCUGAUUCGACCCCUAGCCUGGGAACCUCCAUAUGCCGCGGAAGCGGCCCUAGAAAUGGC
Molecule: long non-coding RNA, 3260 nt
Filed under: Sus scrofa (pig)
Lineage: Eukaryota; Metazoa; Chordata; Mammalia; Artiodactyla; Suidae
Description: lncRNA (ENSSSCG00065041108.1)
Source: RNAcentral